CCUCGGGCCAGGCAGCCUUGCUCUCAACUGCCAUACUCCUGCCGGUCCACACGCAGCAAGCUUAGCACAGGGAAAUGAGCUGACAAGAAGGUGGUGCGGCAGCCGGACAGAAGUUGAGAUGUGCACGGGACUGAGGCGGGGGGCCUGAACAUUGCAAGAUUCAGACAAGCAUUAGCUACUUUUCAGACAAGAGCAGCAUCAGGAGGUGAAAACUUCAAGAACAGAGAAAUGCGUUAAGGGAUCUCAACAUCACUCUGUGCCCUCUGGAGCUGGAUACAAUCAGGCUGAGCUUCUAACUGCGGACCCCACACAUUGCUGCUGAUCCACGUGCCACGCUCUCCCUCCCUGCAUGCAUCAAAAGAACCGCCUCUCCCACUUCGCUGGGCUGUCAAUAAGGUGAACCGACGUGGCGGGACUGCAUAUCUCCAGUGUUGAGCUUACGGCGGUGGGGAGGUGUGAACAUAGCGUGCGCUCACCGCUGCCACAGAUCCAUGGCCGCACCAAUCUUUUAACAAGUAUCUAUCACUCCAAAUUGGACAUUACUUUGGCAUACUGCACCAAGGCAUUCAAUUCCUUUUGGAGCACUUAUAAACAGCGGAUUGUAUAUAGACUGCCUAUGCUCACACCACUCGCCUCUCCAUGGGGGUAAUUCC
This is a long non-coding RNA of Pseudophryne corroboree (corroboree frog), 653 nucleotides long. RefSeq lists it as uncharacterized. The record is from RefSeq and is a predicted model, not a curated record. The transcript is spliced from 3 exons. NCBI's taxonomy places the organism in Eukaryota, Metazoa, Chordata, Amphibia, Anura, Myobatrachidae.